UACGGAGGGUGCAAGCGUUGUCCGGAUUUAUGGGGUUUAAAGGGUGCGUAGGCGGCCCGUUAAGUCAGUGGUGAAAGCCUCCAGCUCAACUGGAGAACUGCCAUUGAUACUGACAGGCUUGAGUACAGACGAGGUUGGCGGAAUUGAUUGUGUAGCGGUGAAAUGCAUAGAUACAAUCAAGAACUCCGAUUGCGUAGGCAGCUAACUAGGCUGUAACUGACGCUGAGGCACGAAAGCGUGGGGAGCGAACAGG
RNAcentral lists this ribosomal RNA (253 nucleotides) under uncultured bacterium. RNAcentral describes it as "partial 16S ribosomal RNA". It matches the Rfam family "Bacterial small subunit ribosomal RNA", at positions 524 to 776 of the family's 1533-position model. The record is from RNAcentral.